CAAGCAGUCAACACUGCACAGCGCGGACCGAAUCCCCAUCACGUAAAGCGGCGGCUUCCUCCUCCGACCACCCCCCCCCCAGCCCCGCUUCGAUCGUCGCUACUCAUGAACAGUCUUCUCAUGGAGGCGAUGGUGAAGCCGCUACAGCGGUACCCAACCCUCGGCGCCACCGUCGGCACCGGCGUGUUAUGCGCCUUUACAUACUGGUGGUACGCCACCUCCAUCCGCAGCACUCUUCUUGCAACGCAGCGCAGUUGCCAGCAGAUGUCGGACAAGGCCUUUCACGAGUGCCGGGAGAUGCUCAAGGCAGGCGAGCGCAGCUGGGGAGGCGAUAUCCGCUCCCGUGAUGCGCAGGUGCGGCGGCUCGAGCUGCAAAACGUUGAGCAGACGCGCAGUGUCGCGCGGCUGGAGUCGGCAAUGAAGAUGUGCCUCAUCCAGAACGCGUAGGCUGAAGAUGGCGCCGCUCUGACGGGCUAUGCGCCACGUCGCCAUAUUCGUUGCCGUGUCCCGCUUGAUGUCUCUUGAGGACAUGGUGGUGGUGGCCUGUAGGUACUUGAUGGUGCCCGUGCGGCAGGCAUCACCGCCUCGUCGUACGUGCGAUCGGCGCACCACCGCUCUCCUCUACCAAAGCCAAGGCACGCGUGCAUGGGGUCGUCUUGUUUGGAUACACGAUGGGGCAUGCGCGCGUAGCGCCGGUGGCGCACUCCAUCGUGGGGCUGUUCAUGUGGGUCGCUCUCCGUCUCUAUCGGUGCACGUGCAUAUAUCUCUAUCAGCUAGGAGACAGCAAAGCAAGCCAUGCCCUGAUGCUGCGUGCGACUUGGUAAGGGUGAAAAGCAGGCGCGAGUGAUGAGGGCGGCCCCCGGGAUGUCGCCAUCCCGUGACAUCGGUUACUGCAGAGCCACGACAGAAAACGGGGCGCUUGGGCCUUAUGCAGGCCUGCCGCCCACCGUGCAUCUGCCUCCCUCUCCCUCCCCUCUCCCCCUUACCUUGCCCCUGGGGCGCGUCCUCGCAACACGCGCAUCCGGGCAUGGCCCCCUACGCAUGCUCUGCACGGAUGUGCCGAAGGCAUGUGACACUGCUGCGUCUUCCAAUCACAAUGGCGAUGGCUGCCGUCGCGCUAGUCUCUCCCUCGUCCCG
This 1137-nucleotide unclassified non-coding RNA is filed under the name Leishmania donovani. Its description in RNAcentral is "gene:LdHU3.08.0320(CDS-product:hypothetical_prote in_conserved)". Lineage: Eukaryota; Euglenozoa; Kinetoplastea; Trypanosomatida; Trypanosomatidae. The record is from RNAcentral.